CCAAACUUGGUCAUUUAGAGGAAGUAAAAGUCGUAACAAGGUUUCCGUAGGUGAACCUGCGGAAGGAUCAUUAAUGUGUUCAUUCCAACUGUGCGCUUUCGGGCUGCACGUUAGUAAACACCUUUCCACACCUGUGCACCUUUUCGGUGAGCAAAGGUUAAAUUACCACUGCUCAUCUGUAUCAUAUACAUCAUCAGUCAUUGUAUGUUUUGUUGAUUAUACAAUACAACUUUCAGCAACGGAUCUCUAGGCUCUCGCAUCGAUGAAGAACGCAGC
RNAcentral lists this unclassified non-coding RNA (276 nucleotides) under uncultured fungus. RNAcentral describes it as "partial contains small subunit ribosomal RNA, internal transcribed spacer 1, and 5.8S ribosomal RNA". The stretch from base 1 to 73 matches the Rfam family "Eukaryotic small subunit ribosomal RNA", at positions 1759 to 1831 of the family's 1831-position model. Lineage: Eukaryota; Fungi. The record is from RNAcentral.